UUGCUGCUCUCUUUCUCUCCCUCUCGACAGCACACACUGCAUCCCAGCACACCACGUGGCAGCCACGAGGCAGAUCCAUACCACCGCAUCACUCAGAGCCAUGCUUGCAAUGAGAGAGCCCUGGGAGAGAGGAAGAGAAAAGCAGAACAGUUGACUUCAAAGAUAAAGCCUUCCACCGCAAUGAAGAGGAACUGGGAGAAUGUCACUAUGUUCCCACAGCCUGGAAACUGCCUGCAAGCAUGGAGAAGACAGACAAGCAUAAGAGCAAUGCCUUGGAGAGCAAACACUGCUUUGGCUUCCAAUACAAAGAGGCUACCAGCUCAUAAACCCACCUGUAGGUUAGACAUAAAGAGAAGUUCUUUACACUGAGAGUGGUGAAACACCCUAACAGGUUACAAAGGGAUGUGGUUGAGGGCCCAUCCCUGGAGGCAUUCAAGAUCAGACUUUUUGUGGCCCUGGGCAGCCUCAUUUAGUUAGAAGUGUCCCUGUUGAC
Pogoniulus pusillus (Red-fronted tinkerbird) is the source of this 493-nucleotide long non-coding RNA. RefSeq lists it as uncharacterized. The record is from RefSeq and is a predicted model, not a curated record. NCBI's taxonomy places the organism in Eukaryota, Metazoa, Chordata, Aves, Piciformes, Lybiidae. The transcript is spliced from 3 exons.